This is a long non-coding RNA of Myotis brandtii (Brandt's bat), 1062 nucleotides long. RefSeq lists it as uncharacterized. Lineage: Eukaryota; Metazoa; Chordata; Mammalia; Chiroptera; Vespertilionidae. The transcript is spliced from 2 exons. The record is from RefSeq and is a predicted model, not a curated record.
CCAGGCCUAGGAACUCUACCCGUGCAUGAAUUUCAUGCACUGGGCCUCUAGUGAGUAAUAGUAGGAGCUACAGUUUAGUGAAUGGUUUUGAUAUGGCAGGUCAGAGAGGUUGAGUGACUCAUUGAAGUUUACACAUCGUGAAACCAGCUGAAGCAGUUUCCACACCAGGAUCACAGCAACGUCUAUACUCGUAACCACUCUGCAGCCUCCAAGAGUGGGAGACCGAGCGAGUGAGAGCACGAGAGUAAAUGCCCACAGAGAAAAAGGUCUGCCGGAUUCAUGGGGCAAUUCCUAUAGCCCGAUGCCCUGCCCCUCCCAUUAUCCACUGCACUCUUUUGAUGGGGUCAAAAACUAUUUGGUCAUUCGGUAGAAAGCAACAAAGGACAGGAAUCCAAAAAGAGAAAAAAUUCAAACUGCAAGAGCAAAUGAACAGCUCAUCAGUGAAGUCAUGUAAUAAAAUCUGAAGCAUGUGGUUAUUGAUGAAAUCUGUGAAAUUCCUUCCUAUCCUGGGAUAGGAACUGGUCACUCAAGAAAGGCACGUCUCUUUACAUUUGGGAUCUAAACCCACAUUACCUGGCUUGAUCACCCAAUUUGCUUACCAGGUUCACUUCAAAUGAUUCUUGGCAACUUCCAAGAGUCAAAUUCAUCCUAGAAUGUAUGAGGUCCUUACCCAUAAAGGAGGUAUUUGAGACAAGUAGGACAGGUUCUAAGAAUAACAUCGAUUAAGUUCCAAACUAUUUGGAGCAAUGGCAGUAUUGUUGGAUUGUGUACACAAGCAGUUAAUGACUUUGCAAAAGAAUUUUUAAUUUACAAGAACCACUUUGCAGGAGGACUGAACAGUCUCAUUCCUUCAGAGCCACUUACUGAAAAUCUGCUAUCCAGAGAUGUCAACAGAUGCUGCACUUGGCUUAGUCUUUAGUAACAAGUGUUAAUUGGGUCUCUGUCCUCCAAGAAGCUUCCUAGCUACUGAAAAGAAUCCCAAAAACAUGGAAAAUAAAGGUCUUUGUAUUCCCUCCCACUUCGAAUACCAAUUUUUAAAAAUUAAAAUGUCUUUCACCUCCA